AUUGAACGCUGGCGGUAUGCUUAACACAUGCAAGUCGAACGGUAACAGGCCUUCGGGCGCUGACGAGUGGCGGACGGGUGAGUAACGCGUAGGAAUCUGCCUCAUAGUGGGGGACAACGUGGGGAAACUCACGCUAAUACCGCAUACGCCCUACGGGGGAAAGCGGGGGAUCUUCGGACCUCGCGCUAUGAGAUGAGCCUGCGUUAGAUUAGCUAGUUGGUAGGGUAAAGGCCUACCAAGGCGACGAUCUAUAGCUGGUCUGAGAGGACGAUCAGCCACACUGGGACUGAGACACGGCCCAGACUCCUACGGGAGGCAGCAGUGGGGAAUAUUGGACAAUGGGCGCAAGCCUGAUCCAGCAAUACCGCGUGUGUGAAGAAGGCCUUAGGGUUGUAAAGCACUUUCAAUUGGGAGGAAAACCUAGCCGGUCAAUACCCGGCAGCUUGACAUUACCCUUAGAAGAAGCACCGGCUAACUCCGUGCCAGCAGCCGCGGUAAU
This 499-nucleotide ribosomal RNA is filed under the name uncultured bacterium. RNAcentral describes it as "bacterial SSU rRNA". It matches the Rfam family "Bacterial small subunit ribosomal RNA", at positions 30 to 524 of the family's 1533-position model. The record is from RNAcentral.